This 636-nucleotide ribosomal RNA is filed under the name Klebsiella pneumoniae. RNAcentral's name for it is "bacterial SSU rRNA". It matches the Rfam family "Bacterial small subunit ribosomal RNA", at positions 829 to 1467 of the family's 1533-position model. Lineage: Bacteria; Pseudomonadati; Pseudomonadota; Gammaproteobacteria; Enterobacterales; Enterobacteriaceae. The record is from RNAcentral.
CCCGUGAGGCGUUGCUUCCGGAGCUCAUGAGUUAAAUCGACCGCGUGGGGAGUACGGCCGCAAGGUUAAAACUCAAAUGAAUUGACGGGGGCCCGCACAAGCGGUGGAGCAUGUGGUUUAAUUCGAUGCAACGCGAAGAACCUUACCUGGUCUUGACAUCCACAGAACUUAGCAGAGAUGCUUUGGUGCCUUCGGGAACUGUGAGACAGGUGCUGCAUGGCUGUCGUCAGCUCGUGUUGUGAAAUGUUGGGUUAAGUCCCGCAACGAGCGCAACCCUUAUCCUUUGUUGCCAGCGGUCAGGCCGGGAACUCAAAGGAGACUGCCAGUGAUAAACUGGAGGAAGGUGGGGAUGACGUCAAGUCAUCAUGGCCCUUACGACCAGGGCUACACACGUGCUACAAUGGCAUAUACAAAGAGAAGCGACCUCGCGAGAGCAAGCGGACCUCAUAAAGUAUGUCGUAGUCCGGAUUGGAGUCUGCAACUCGACUCCAUGAAGUCGGAAUCGCUAGUAAUCGUAGAUCAGAAUGCUACGGUGAAUACGUUCCCGGGCCUUGUACACACCGCCCGUCACACCAUGGGAGUGGGUUGCAAAAGAAGUAGGUAGCUUAACCUUCGGGAGGGCGCUACCACCUGUUA